CUUCAACGACCCCAGCCACAACGGCUGUUCGGCGGACCUCCCCCGUCCGUAGGUGGCCAGCACCGCCUGCGCCUC
This 75-nucleotide antisense RNA is filed under the name Streptomyces sp. TLI_053. RNAcentral's name for it is "ASpks TB sRNA". It matches the Rfam family "ASpks TB sRNA". The record is from RNAcentral. Lineage: Bacteria; Bacillati; Actinomycetota; Actinomycetes; Kitasatosporales; Streptomycetaceae.